This 509-nucleotide ribosomal RNA is filed under the name uncultured bacterium. RNAcentral describes it as "partial 16S ribosomal RNA". It matches the Rfam family "Bacterial small subunit ribosomal RNA", at positions 29 to 507 of the family's 1533-position model. The record is from RNAcentral.
ACGCACGCUGGCGGCGUGCUUCACACAUGCCAGUCGAACGCAGAGCGAUGGAAGCUUGCUUCUAUCAAUCUUAGUGGCGAACGGGUGAGUAACGCGUAAUCAACCUGCCCUUCAGAGGGGGACAACAGUUGGAAACGACUGCUAAUACCGCAUACGAUCUAAUCUCGGCAUCGAGGAUAGAUGAAAGGUGGCCUCUACAUGUAAGCUAUCACUGAAGGAGGGGAUUGCGUCUGAUUAGCUAGUUGGAGGGGUAACGGCCCACCAAGGCGAUGAUCAGUAGCCGGUCUGAGAGGAUGAACGGCCACAUUGGGACUGAGACACGGCCCAGACUCCUACGGGAGGCAGCAGUGGGGAAUCUUCCGCAAUGGACGAAAGUCUGACGGAGCAACGCCGCGUGAGUGAGGACGGCCUUCGGGUUGUAAAGCUCUGUUAAUCGGGACGAAAGGCCUUCUUGCGAAUAGUGAGAAGGAUUGACGGUACCGGAAUAGAAAGCCACGGCUAACUACGUG